This 501-nucleotide ribosomal RNA is filed under the name Tylenchorhynchus teeni. RNAcentral's name for it is "SSU rRNA". It matches the Rfam family "Eukaryotic small subunit ribosomal RNA", at positions 88 to 589 of the family's 1831-position model. The record is from RNAcentral. Lineage: Eukaryota; Metazoa; Nematoda; Chromadorea; Rhabditida; Telotylenchidae.
CGCGAACGGCUCAUUAUAACAGCUAUAAUUUACUUGAAUUUGACAACCCUACUUGGAUACCGGUGGUAAUUCUAGCGCUAAUACAUGCACCAAAGCUCCGACCGCGAGGGAAGAGCGCAUUUAUUAGAACAAAACCACACGGCUUCGGCCGUCCAAUGUUGACUCAGAAUAACUAAGCUGAUCGCAUGGUCUUGCACCGGCGACGUUUCUUUCAAGUAUCUGCCUUAUCAACUUUCGAUGGUAGUGUAUCUGACUACCAUGGUGAUGACGGGUAACGGAGGAUAAGGGUUCGACUCCGGAGAAGGGGCCUGAGAAAUGGCCACUACGUCUAAGGAUGGCAGCAGGCGCGCAAAUUACCCACUCUCAGUACGAGGAGGUAGUGACGAGAAAUAACAAGACCGUUCUCACAAGAGGCCGGUCAUUGGAAUGGGACAAUUUAAACCCUUUAACGAGUAUCUAUGAGAGGGCAAGUCUGGUGCCAGCAGCCGCGGUAAUUCCAGC